UUGGUGUGGUUGUUGCUGGCCCUCUCGGGGGCAUGUGCACACCCACCAUCCUCAUCUCUCCACCUGUGCACCUCUUGUAGACCUGGAUUGACUUUCCGAGGCAACUCGGUCGGGAAGAUUGCUGCGCUCUGUGAGCCAGCUUUCUUUGCAUGUCCAGGCCUAUGUUUUUCAUAUACCCCUAUAGAAUGUAACAGAAUGUAUCAUUGGGCCUUGUGCCUAUAAACCUUAUACAACUUUCAGCAACGGAUCUCUUGGCUCUCGCAUCGAUGAAGAACGCAGCGAAAUGCGAUAAGUAAUGUGAAUUGCAGAAUUCAGUGAAUCAUCGAAUCUUUGAACGCACCUUGCGCUCCUUGGUAUUCCGAGGAGCAUGCCUGUUUGAGUGUCAUUAAAUUCUCAACCUUAUUAACUUUUGUUGAUAAUGGAUUGGAUUGUGGGGGUUUCUUUUGCUGGCUUCUUCACAGAGAUCAGCUCCCCUUAAAUGCAUUAGCUGGUGCCCCGCGUGGACCAUCUAUUGGUGUGAUAAUUAUCUACGCCGUGGAUGUCUGCAAUCAUAUGGGUUUCGCACUGCUUCUAACCGUCUGUUCAUUCGGACAAUACAUGACGAUUGACCUCAAAUCAUGUAGGACUAC
Molecule: ribosomal RNA, 629 nt
Filed under: Alnicola aff. badia PAM03/04b
Lineage: Eukaryota; Fungi; Basidiomycota; Agaricomycetes; Agaricales; Hymenogastraceae
Description: eukaryotic LSU rRNA
Rfam family: 5.8S ribosomal RNA (bases 232-385)
Source: RNAcentral